Molecule: ribosomal RNA, 446 nt
Filed under: uncultured bacterium
Lineage: Bacteria
Description: partial 16S ribosomal RNA
Rfam family: Bacterial small subunit ribosomal RNA
Source: RNAcentral
CCUACGGGUGGCAGCAGUGGAGAAUCAUGCACAAUGGGGGAAACCCUGAUGGAGCGACGCCGCGUGGGGGAAGGAAGGUCUGCGGAUGGUAAACUCCUUUCAUGGGGGAGCAAAUGAAAAAGAUAGUACCACAAGAGGAAGAGACGGCGAACCCUGCGCCAGCAGCCGCGGUAAGACAGAGGUCGCAAUCGUUAUUCGGAAUUACUGGGGGUAAAGUGAGCGGAGGCUUUUUCGUAAGUCGUGAGUGAAAGGCCGGGGCUCAACCCCCGGACGGCACUUGAUACUGCGAGACUAGAGUGAUGGAGGGGGAAGUGGAAUUCUCGGUGUAGCGGUGAAAUGCGUAGAUAUCGGGAGGAACACUAGUGGCGAAGGCGGGUUCCUGGACAUUAACUGACGCUGAGGCACGAAGGCCAGGGGAGCGAAAAGGAUUAGAUACCCGUGUAGUC